AUAGCAAGUUUCAGGAAAGUAGUUCCCUCCUCCCUUCAUUUCCCAAAUCGUUGUCGAGCCACUGAACGGGGAAAGGGAGGAGGGAGGCGGAGGGAUACGCUAGGCAACGGACUCGGUGUGCGUGCGCGCGCUCCAAACUCUUGGCACGCUUCGAAAGGGGGCGGGGGUGUGAGCUGCACUGGGAGCUGCUAGGGAGGCUGCAUUGUUGCGGCGCGGUGCUCCCAGUUCCUCGCUUUGGAAUAUCCAAGUUGCCUGAAAGAAGAGGUUGGCAUGACAGUGUGCUCAAAGAGAAUAUUGGAGGCUACUCUGAUCUGACGUGUGUUUGUGCAACCUGCGAAUGAAGGCUUCUGCUCCUGCCACGUUGAAGAGUAGAACAAUUCCCGAGGAAGAAGAAAGUAGGAGAACCUCCCACACAAGCCAGCACUCCUGCCAUCUGUCCCCGGGAAGUUUCAGGAUUGCUGUUCUCAGGAGCAUUGCUGUUCUCAGGAGCGCGCACACUAGCUUGUUAACAGUGUUUUGCCCAUAGUAAGUGCUUAAUAAAUGUGUGACAAGUUAAUAAAGGAGCUAAACCAGU
Long non-coding RNA from Phyllostomus discolor (pale spear-nosed bat), 574 nucleotides. RefSeq lists it as uncharacterized. The transcript is spliced from 2 exons. NCBI's taxonomy places the organism in Eukaryota, Metazoa, Chordata, Mammalia, Chiroptera, Phyllostomidae. The record is from RefSeq and is a predicted model, not a curated record.